Molecule: ribosomal RNA, 2902 nt
Filed under: Escherichia coli
Lineage: Bacteria; Pseudomonadati; Pseudomonadota; Gammaproteobacteria; Enterobacterales; Enterobacteriaceae
Also listed under: 2 other names
Description: bacterial LSU rRNA
Rfam family: Bacterial large subunit ribosomal RNA
Source: RNAcentral
UUAAGCGACUAAGCGUACACGGUGGAUGCCCUGGCAGUCAGAGGCGAUGAAGGACGUGCUAAUCUGCGAUAAGCGUCGGUGAGGUGAUAUGAACCGUUAUAACCGGCGAUUUCCGAAUGGGGAAACCCAGUGUGAUUCGUCACACUAUCAUUAACUGAAUCCAUAGGUUAAUGAGGCGAACCGGGGGAACUGAAACAUCUAAGUACCCCGAGGAAAAGAAAUCAACCGAGAUUCCCCCAGUAGCGGCGAGCGAACGGGGAGGAGCCCAGAGCCUGAAUCAGUGUGUGUGUUAGUGGAAGCGUCUGGAAAGGCGCGCGAUACAGGGUGACAGCCCCGUACACAAAAAUGCACAUACUGUGAGCUCGAUGAGUAGGGCGGGACACGUGGUAUCCUGUCUGAAUAUGGGGGGACCAUCCUCCAAGGCUAAAUACUCCUGACUGACCGAUAGUGAACCAGUACCGUGAGGGAAAGGCGAAAAGAACCCCGGCGAGGGGAGUGAAAAAGAACCUGAAACCGUGUACGUACAAGCAGUGGGAGCCUCUUAAUGGGGUGACUGCGUACCUUUUGUAUAAUGGGUCAGCGACUUAUAUUCUGUAGCAAGGUUAACCGAAUAGGGGAGCCGAAGGGAAACCGAGUCUUAACUGGGCGUUAAGUUGCAGGGUAUAGACCCGAAACCCGGUGAUCUAGCCAUGGGCAGGUUGAAGGUUGGGUAACACUAACUGGAGGACCGAACCGACUAAUGUUGAAAAAUUAGCGGAUGACUUGUGGCUGGGGGUGAAAGGCCAAUCAAACCGGGAGAUAGCUGGUUCUCCCCGAAAGCUAUUUAGGUAGCGCCUCGUGAAUUCAUCUCCGGGGGUAGAGCACUGUUUCGGCAAGGGGGUCAUCCCGACUUACCAACCCGAUGCAAACUGCGAAUACCGGAGAAUGUUAUCACGGGAGACACACGGCGGGUGCUAACGUCCGUCGUGAAGAGGGAAACAACCCAGACCGCCAGCUAAGGUCCCAAAGUCAUGGUUAAGUGGGAAACGAUGUGGGAAGGCCCAGACAGCCAGGAUGUUGGCUUAGAAGCAGCCAUCAUUUAAAGAAAGCGUAAUAGCUCACUGGUCGAGUCGGCCUGCGCGGAAGAUGUAACGGGGCUAAACCAUGCACCGAAGCUGCGGCAGCGACACUAUGUGUUGUUGGGUAGGGGAGCGUUCUGUAAGCCUGUGAAGGUGGCCUGUGAGGGUUGCUGGAGGUAUCAGAAGUGCGAAUGCUGACAUAAGUAACGAUAAAGCGGGUGAAAAGCCCGCUCGCCGGAAGACCAAGGGUUCCUGUCCAACGUUAAUCGGGGCAGGGUGAGUCGACCCCUAAGGCGAGGCCGAAAGGCGUAGUCGAUGGGAAACAGGUUAAUAUUCCUGUACUUGGUGUUACUGCGAAGGGGGGACGGAGAAGGCUAUGUUGGCCGGGCGACGGUUGUCCCGGUUUAAGCGUGUAGGCUGGUUUUCCAGGCAAAUCCGGAAAAUCAAGGCUGAGGCGUGAUGACGAGGCACUACGGUGCUGAAGCGACAAAUGCCCUGCUUCCAGGAAAAGCCUCUAAGCAUCAGGUAACAUCAAAUCGUACCCCAAACCGACACAGGUGGUCAGGUAGAGAAUACCAAGGCGCUUGAGAGAACUCGGGUGAAGGAACUAGGCAAAAUGGUGCCGUAACUUCGGGAGAAGGCACGCUGAUAUGUAGGUGAAGCGACUUGCUCGUGGAGCUGAAAUCAGUCGAAGAUACCAGCUGGCUGCAACUGUUUAUUAAAAACACAGCACUGUGCAAACACGAAAGUGGACGUAUACGGUGUGACGCCUGCCCGGUGCCGGAAGGUUAAUUGAUGGGGUUAGCGGUAACGCGAAGCUCUUGAUCGAAGCCCCGGUAAACGGCGGCCGUAACUAUAACGGUCCUAAGGUAGCGAAAUUCCUUGUCGGGUAAGUUCCGACCUGCACGAAUGGCGUAAUGAUGGCCAGGCUGUCUCCACCCGAGACUCAGUGAAAUUGAACUCGCUGUGAAGAUGCAGUGUACCCGCGGCAAGACGGAAAGACCCCGUGAACCUUUACUAUAGCUUGACACUGAACAUUGAGCCUUGAUGUGUAGGAUAGGUGGGAGGCUUUGAAGUGUGGACGCCAGUCUGCAUGGAGCCGACCUUGAAAUACCACCCUUUAAUGUUUGAUGUUCUAACGUGGGCCCCUUACCGGGGUUGCGGACAGUGUCUGGUGGGUAGUUUGACUGGGGCGGUCUCCUCCUAAAGAGUAACGGAGGAGCACGAAGGUUGGCUAAUCCUGGUCGGACAUCAGGAGGUUAGUGCAAUGGCAUAAGCCAGCUUGACUGCGAGCGUGACGGCGCGAGCAGGUGCGAAAGCAGGUCAUAGUGAUCCGGUGGUUCUGAAUGGAAGGGCCAUCGCUCAACGGAUAAAAGGUACUCCGGGGAUAACAGGCUGAUACCGCCCAAGAGUUCAUAUCGACGGCGGUGUUUGGCACCUCGAUGUCGGCUCAUCACAUCCUGGGGCUGAAGUAGGUCCCAAGGGUAUGGCUGUUCGCCAUUUAAAGUGGUACGCGAGCUGGGUUUAGAACGUCGUGAGACAGUUCGGUCCCUAUCUGCCGUGGGCGCUGGAGAACUGAGGGGGGCUGCUCCUAGUACGAGAGGACCGGAGUGGACGCAUCACUGGUGUUCGGGUUGUCAUGCCAAUGGCACUGCCCGGUAGCUAAAUGCGGAAGAGAUAAGUGCUGAAAGCAUCUAAGCACGAAACUUGCCCCGAGAUGAGUUCUCCCUGACUCCUUGAGAGUCCUGAAGGAACGUUGAAGACGACGACGUUGAUAGGCCGGGUGUGUAAGCGCAGCGAUGCGUUGAGCUAACCGGUACUAAUGAACCGUGAGGCUUAACCUU